Molecule: transfer-messenger RNA, 348 nt
Filed under: bacterium
Lineage: Bacteria
Description: UBA9089 sp003485015 Standard tmRNA
Rfam family: transfer-messenger RNA
About the family: Bacterial tmRNA, also known as 10Sa RNA or SsrA, is named for its dual tRNA and mRNA-like properties. Its role is to liberate the mRNA from a stalled ribosome.
Source: RNAcentral
GGGGGCGACAGGUUUCGACGGGGAUAGACAGGAUAUGAGCAGCAUUCCGAGGUGCCGCCAGGCCUCGUAAAACAGGCGGAAAACAUAUAACUGCCAACACUUUGGCAUUAGCUGCUUAAACAGUAGCACACCCUUUCUAAUCUUGCUUGGGUGAUAGAAAGGGUGCCGGUUACCAGGCUGGCUCCUCAACCUUUGUCCUGGGAAGAGGAGUAAGAUUAAAGGGACUGGUCCUUUAGGGAUCCUGUUUAUGGGAGCCAUAAAGGACGAGAUUCAAAACAUAAACUAAGGAUGUAGAUACUCAUAUCUCGGUAUCUUCGGACGUGGGUUCGAUUCCCACCGCCUCCACUA